GACGAACGCUGGCGGCGUGCUUAACACAUGCAAGUCGAACGGAAAGGCCCUGCUUUUGUGGGGUGCUCGAGUGGCGAACGGGUGAGUAACACGUGAGUAACCUGCCCUUGACUGUGGGAUAACUUCAGGAAACUGGGGCUAAUACCGGCUAGGAGCUCCUGCUGCAUGGUGGGGGUUGGAAAGUUUCGGCGGUUGGGGUUGGAUUCGCGGCUUAUCCGCUUGUUGGGGGGGUAGUGGCUUACCAAGGCUUUGACGGGUAGCCGGCCUGAGAGGGUGACCGGCCACAUUGGGACUGAGAUACGGCCCAGUCUCCUACGGGAGGCAGCAGGGGGGAAUAUUGCACAAUGGGCGGAAGCCUGAUGCAGCAACGCCGCGUGCGGGAUGACGGCCUGCGGGUUGUAAACCGCUUUCGCCUGUGACGAAGCGUGAGUGACGGUAAUGGGUAAAGAAGCACCGGCUAACUACGUG
Molecule: ribosomal RNA, 468 nt
Filed under: uncultured bacterium
Lineage: Bacteria
Description: partial 16S ribosomal RNA
Rfam family: Bacterial small subunit ribosomal RNA
Source: RNAcentral